CCGUUCAAUACUGCGGAGCUCGAGGGCAGAAGAGGGGGGUGGAAUUGCUGGUGUAGUGGUGAAAUGCGUAGAUAUCAGCAGGAACACCUGUGGCGAAAGCGGCCCCCUGGUCUGCUCCUGACACUCAGACGCGAAAGCUAGGGGAGUGAACGGGAUUAGAAACCCCGGUAAUCCUAGCCGUAAACGAUGGAUGCUAGGUGUGGGUGGUAUUGACCCCAUCCGUGCCGAAGCCAACGCGUUAAGCAUCCCGCCUGGGGACUACGGCCGCAAGGUUAAAACUCAAAGGAAUUGACGGGGACCCGCACAAGCAGCGGAGCGUGUGGUUUAAUUCGAUGCUACACGAAGAACCUUACCCAGGUUUGACAUGCAGGUAGUAGUGAAGCGAAAGCGGAACGAUCCUUCGGGAAGCCUGCACAGGUGCUGCACGGCUGUCGUCAGCUCGUGCCGUGAGGUGUUUGGUUAAGUCCACUAACGAGCGCAACCCCUGUCGUCAGUUACAUGUGUCUGGCGAGACUGCCGGUCUUAAACCGGAGGAAGGUGGGGAUGACGUCAAGUCAGCAUGGCCUUUAUAUCUGGG
Molecule: ribosomal RNA, 577 nt
Filed under: uncultured bacterium
Lineage: Bacteria
Description: bacterial SSU rRNA
Rfam family: Bacterial small subunit ribosomal RNA
Source: RNAcentral